This 146-nucleotide unclassified non-coding RNA is filed under the name soil metagenome. Its description in RNAcentral is "partial internal transcribed spacer 1". The record is from RNAcentral.
UAAUAAGUGUUUUAUGGCACUUUUUAAAUCCAUAUCCACCUUGUGUGCAAUGUCAGUCGAUCUUCUUCAUGGAGAUCGACCAAACAUCAACCUUUAUCCUUUUAACUCUCUGUCUUAAAAAUAUUAUGAAUAAACAAUUCAAAAUA